UCUACGGGUGGCAGCAGUGAGGAAUAUUGGUCAAUGGACGAGAGUCUGAACCAGCCAAGUAGCGUGAAGGAUGAAGGUGCCAAGCAUUGUAAACUUCUUUUGUCAAGGGACAAAAUCAGGCUCGAGAGCCUGACCGAGGGUACUUGAAGAAAAAGCAUCGGCUAACUCCGUGCCAGCAGCAGCGGUAAUACGGAGGAUGCGAGCGUUAUCGGGAUUUAUUGGGUUAAAAGGGUGCGUAGGCGGACUGUUAAGUCAGCGGUAAAAGCCCGGGGCCCAACCCCGGCGAGCCGUUGAAACUGGCUGUCUUGAGAUGUCGAGAGGUAUGCGGAAUGCGCAGUGUAGCGGUGAAAUGCUUAGAUAUUGCGCAGAACUCCGAUUGCGAAGGCAGCAUACCGGCGGCGAUCUGACGCUGAGGCACGAAAGCGUGGGUAUCGAACAGGAUUAGAUACCCUUGUAGUC
RNAcentral lists this ribosomal RNA (459 nucleotides) under uncultured bacterium. Its description in RNAcentral is "partial 16S ribosomal RNA". It matches the Rfam family "Bacterial small subunit ribosomal RNA", at positions 338 to 795 of the family's 1533-position model. The record is from RNAcentral.